Molecule: long non-coding RNA, 8078 nt
Filed under: Triticum aestivum (bread wheat)
Lineage: Eukaryota; Viridiplantae; Streptophyta; Magnoliopsida; Poales; Poaceae
Description: long non-coding RNA (TAES_LNC022795)
Source: RNAcentral
AUUGCAUAACUAUUAACUUUCGUGCUUGCAUAGGGAAUCACAAACCUUAACAUCAAUAUUCUUACUAAAGCAUAAUUACUCAUUGUCACGCCCAAUAUGCGACCCUAUCCAAAAGGAACUCGAAGGUCCCACCAAGGAUAGACCCGCAUAUUGAAACGCUUUUGCAAGGUGGAUAUCAUUACAUCAACAUUACAUAAUAGAUGGGGAUAAAUACAUAAGGCAUACAAUGCCACUCAAAUACAACAUCACAACACAUAAGAGCAUCAUCCGACUACGGAUGAAACACAAACAGAAACUCAAACGACAUCCACCCUGCUAGCCCAGGCUGCCGAUCUGGAACCUAUCCCUGAUCGAAGAAGAAGCAGAAGAAGAGCUCAAGCAAGCAAGCAUCGCUCUCGCGUCAUGAUCAUCACAUAACCUGUACCUGCAACUGUUGUUGUAGUAAUCUGUGAGCCACGAGGACUCAGCAAUCCCAUUACCAUGGGUAUCAAUACUAGCAAAUCUUAAUGGGAAAGGAAUGGGUAAAGUGGUGAGGUUGCAGCAACGACUAAGCAAGUAUGGUGGCUAACCUACGCAAAUAAGAGCGAGAAGAGAGCAAGCGGAACGAUCGUGAAGCUAGCAAUGAUCAAGAAGUGAUCCUGAACUCCUACUUACGUCAAACAUAACCCAAAGACCAUGUUCACUUCCCGGGCUCCGCCGAAAAGAGACCAUCACGGCUACACACGCGGUUGAUGCGUUUUAAUUCGGAUCUGGUGUCAAGUUAUCUACAACCGGACAUUAACAAAUUCUCAUCUGCCUAUAACCGCAGGCACGACUUUUGAAAGAUUAUACCCUGCAGGGGUGUCCCAACUUAGCCCAUGAUAAGCUCUCGCGAUCAACGAAGGAUAUACCUUCUCCCAGGAAGACCCGAUCAGACUCGGAAUCCCGGUUUACAAGACAUUUCGACAAUGGUAAAACAAGACCAGCAAAGCCGCCCGAUGCGCCGACAAUCCUGAUAGGAGCUGCACAUAUCUCGUUCUCAGGGCAACACCGGAUGAGACAUCCUACGAGUAAAACCAGACCUCAAGUUUCCCCGAGGGGGCCCUGCAGUCUACUCGGUUCGGACCAACACUUAGACAAGCACUGGCCCGGGGGGGGGGGGCUAAAAUAAAGAUGACCCUCGGGUUGGCCGACCCAAGGGAAAUGUAUAGGUGGUGGUGAGGCAAAUGAUAAGACCAAGGUUGGGCCUUGCUGGAGGAGUUUUAUUCAAAGCGAACUGUCAAGGGGGUCCCAUAAAUCACCCAACCGCGUAAGAAACGCAAAAUCCAAGAACAUAACACCGGUAUGACGGAAACUAGGGUGGCAAGAGUGGAACAAAACACCAGGCAUAAGGCCGAGUCUUCCACCCUUUACCAAAUAUAUAGAUGCAUUAAUUAAAUAAGAGAUAUUGUGAUAUCCCAACAUAAUCCUGUCCACCAUGGGGCAAUCUUCAACUUCACCUGCAACUAGCAACGCUAUAAGAGGGGCUGAGCAAAGCGGUAACAUAGCCAAGCAACGGUUUGCUAGGAAGGGUGUCAAAGGAUUAGAGGUUCAUGUCAAUUUGGGAUGGCUUGAUAAACAGGUGAUAGGUAGCACAACAUAGCAAUAGAAUGAAGCAACUAGCAUAGCAAUGAUAGUAGUGAGAUCCAGGGUAGCGGUCAUCUUGCUUGAAAUCCCGCAAGGAAGAAGAACGAGUCCAUGAAGAAGACAGACGAACGUAGUCGAACGAAUCCUCACAACUUCGGAACGAAACCGAAGGCAACCUGGAAAGAAGCAAACAACAUGGUAAACACACAAGCAUAAACAUGGCAUGAUGAACAAUCAAGUAUGAUGCAUGUCCGAUUUAAAUGAGGCUUGGUAUGGCAAAGUGCAACAAGCAAUACUACAAGUUAAGUGGAGCUCAAUAUGCAACAAGUUGCAUAUUGACAAAACACCACAACAAUUAUUUAGUUCAUCUCGUUUAAGCUGCCAAACAAUAUUAAAUGUGGUUAAACAUGGCAAGAGGUGAAGUAUAACAAAACUACACUAUCUAAGCAAUUUAAAUGAAGCCGGAAACAACAAACAACAAUUCCAGAAAAUCCCCAUGUGCAUAUUUUGAAUUAGCUACUGUUCUUUCCUAAAACAUAUUUUAAAGUUGUUAAACAGGAAAAUAAAGUGCACCAUGUUAAACUAUGCAUUUUUCUAGCCCAUUUACAUAUAAAGAACAUCUAAAACCGAGCUACGGUUAUUUAGUUAUGAAACAAAUCAUUUUAGCAUAUUAUUUAAGCAAAAUUAAACAAACUGCAUUUUAAACAUAUUUAACAUGGAUUAAAGUGGCAAAUUAUUAAUCUACACAAAAUUCUAAUCAUUUUACAUGUAUAAGUUAUUUACAAAAGAUGCAUAGUUCAUGAGUAAUUAUAUGCAUGAAGUUAGAGGGUUUUUCUGUAAAAACUGCAGUCUCAGGAUAAUGUCUAAAUUUGCAGGCAAGGAAAAAACACUAUUCGGGCCAAAACUUGCUGGCCCGACAGGGUACAGGAGGGGGACUAGAUGGGGCUGCUCACCCAUGGGCUUGGCCCGGUUCGGUGGAGGAGGCUGGCAGGCCGCGGGGCGCAGGCUGGACCUUGGGGAGGCGCUGGGCAGUUGGGCUGCUGGCGUUCCAGACAAGCAGGGACGCGGUCAACGAGGCUGGGCGCGCCUCGUUCAUCUUCGAAGCAGAGGAACCAGGGGCGCGGCGAGGACGGGGUCAACGGCACGGCAGCAGCCGCAGGGAAGGCCGACGAUGUGGAGAUGGGGCGGAUCCGGCUGGCCGGCGCCGGAUCCGGGCAACGACGGCGCGGACGGAGCUCAGGGGCGGCCAUGGCGAAGCAGAGGACGGGGAUGGCCUGUAGACAACGGGCCGUCGACGGGGAUGGGGCAGACAAGGCCGAAGGAGGUCGUCGCCUGCGAUGGCGCGAGGGGACGAGGCCAAGCGCUCCUGCUCGGGACCUCGAGCAGCUGCUGGCUUCGGUCGGUGUGGACGAGGAGAAGGCAGGGCCUCGGGCGCGGGGCGGACAGGACGAAGGAGCUGCGGGAGGUCAGACUUGUCCAGGAGGCAGGGGAGGCAGAUGCCCGGUGGCGCGGGGACUUGGUGCAGACGAGAAGAGGCACGGCGGCUGCGCGGGGAACCUGGCGCGAUCUCGGCGACGCGGACGAGGUGAGGAGGAGCGGGGGCGGCCUGAACUGGGCCUUGGUGUUCAAUCUGGAGCAUGGAAGCAGAGGCUGGGCGAGGGGCUUGGCGGGCGCCAUGAGCAGGGGAGCCUUGCUCCGGUCGAGGCAGACGAGAAGCAAGGAGGUGGAUGCGGGAUUGGAUGGAUCGAGGGGAGGAGGAAGGUGGCUAUGGUUGGCUCGAUGUGGAAUUCGAGGAGGAUUUUGGAGAGAGCGCUGGUUUGUGGAUUGGAUGAGGGUGAUCCCGAUAGGGAUUGAGCGGGUGGCGGCGCGAUGGGACAAGAAGCGUAGGCUUUAGGGAUUGGUCUAGGGUUGGGCUAUUUAUAUAGAUAGGGGAUUAGGGUAAGGGUUAAUCUGUUCCUCCAUUCGAAAUCGGACGGUCCAGAAUAGAAUAGGCAGGGAGUCCAAAUAAUAAAACGGAGAUGUUUUAGGGAUGUUAGGGGAUGAUCCGGACCCAACGGGGACGACAGCCCGGGUCGGGUUCGGGGGAGUUUUGGACAUGGUUGCGAAGGGGGUUCGAUGCACUGUGCAAAGAAGGAUUAGAUGGUUUGACAAGAGUAAAUUGAAAACCCAGUUGGUCUGGAACGGUCAAUGAAGGCAAAGUGGUCUGAGGGACGGUGAUGAAGGCAAAGGGAGAAACGGCAACGACGAGCGAAUGCAAGUUUUGAAAAAAAUGACGGCAACGAAGUGCUGAUGCAAUGCGGAUGAUGCUAUGAGAUGAAAUGCAUAACAAGAACAAAAUGCAAAACAACAGACAAAAACCCAACCACGGAGGAAAAAUAAAUCACAUAGCCGGAAAUGGCAAGAGUCGGAGUUGCGAAUAUGGAAAGUUGUAUCCGGGGCGUUACAACACUCCACCACUAUGAGAGGAUCUCGUCCCGAGAUCUAGGAUGGCACCGAGGGAAAAGGAAGAGGAAGAUAAGAGGUAAACUAAGUUGCUUCUUCGACAAACAAGUGAAACCAUGAACCUUGAGAGGUUGAAAGUUGAAAGAAAGAACAUAACAGAGUUGAACACAAUUGAGGGCACUGUGGUAGAACAAAUAGAAACAAGGAAGACCAUUUGAACCUUGCAGGUUGCAAAGCUAUGAAUCAAGAGUUUAAUGGACAAGAUAGAAUUUGAAACCACUCCGGUUAAAACAAGAUAAGAAUGAUAUAGUUUUGGAAGCACUCCGACUGAAGGAAGAAGGAAAACUUGAUAAGAUGAAAAGCACUUGAAGAGAUGACACAACACUCCGAUUAAAUGGAUAAGCCAGAAAAGAAGACGAUCCUCACCAAACGAGGUGAUGGGUGAAGAGCACAACAUCAGAAUGGCUCCGUAACGAAAGAAUAGAAGUUAGACCGUUGGGAUAAAGGGACGGAGAAGAAAUGACAACUUUUGCCACAAGUCAACUUGGAAAGCAUCCUUGCAAAGAAGAAUCGAACGGAGUUGUUGGAAAAUCAACAACGAGAAGCACAAGCUUGUUGUGGGCUUAUGGAAAAACUUCUCAAGACUAUGAGGUGACAUUCUGCCACUAACGAAAAACAAUUGCUUGCUUGAGAUCAAAGAAGAGAUAACAACUUGUUUCGCCGAGAGGAUAGGAGAAAAACUUGGAUCAUUGAUAGUCACCACAAUGAGCAACAUUCCUUAGGGAAGGCUUUAGGUGAAAACUAACCCAAGAUAACUCCAACAAAGAGAUUGAUUGGUCGAAAAGAUAUCUUGAACGAAGAGAAAAUGAUGGAUUUAGUUAACUCAUUCCUGACAACUUGUGAAUCAUGAAGCACGAGGAGAAAUUGCCGAGGAUGACAUAACACCAUCUCAAAAGAUAAGGUAGAAAGGAUUGCACUUCGGAAUGCAAGAUGAAGAAUACUUGAACUCCUUAGAAAAAAACAUGUGUUGGGCACCAUGUUUAUUUUUUUGAGUAUAGCUUGGCGGAUCAUAACUUCAAGAGAAAUCUUGAAGAACAAUUGAAGAAUGAAAAUAAUCCUUGACGAACCACCAUGUAGAGCCUCCAUCAAGAAGUCUGGUAAUAAAAUAAUGAUAGAAAGGAAGAGAAGUUGAAAACACAAGGUGAAGCCUUGCAAUGAAUUAGAUGGAGCAUCGCGACGAUAUAAUUGAGAAAACUUGGAACUCCGGAAAAAAAGAUGAAACACUAGAACCGAGAAUUACUUCAUCAUGAACAAUCUUCGAAAGAAAAGAAUUGAAUUUCCUUGAGGAAAUAAGAAUAAGAUUUAUUGUAUGCUUAUCCUUCAUCAAAUUCAAUUGAUGACAAGCAAUGGAUUUGGCAUACUACUUAUUCCCGUAGAAAGGAUUAAAAGAGAUAUAGCGCAAACUGGAGAAGGUAUUGAUGGAACCACCGGUGGGAUUUGGAAACAACAAAUAUUUGAUAUGAUAACGAAGGAAGUGAAAUCUUGAACGAACCGCCGUAAGAAUUGAAAAUGAAAGUAGCAAAGGCACAAUUCACCGGGAAGAAUUGGGGAACGAAUGAAGAUACUUGAGGGGAUAUAGAUACAUGAGAACACAGAGAUCAUGAACUGAUUAGAGGGUAUUUGAACGAUGCCCCGGUAAGAUUUGGAGAACAAGAGUUGAAGGCUGAGAAUAAGAAUUAUGACAAGAUGGCCUUCGAAGGAGAGAAAUGGAAACAACUCAUGAAAAGCUCCGGAUGGUAAGAAAAGAAUUCUCACAAUCAAAAACAAUUAUGAGAGGAUGGCAUCAAGCUUGGACUACACAUCUUUGGAAGAACGGGUAAGGAUUUAAGAGGAACUCUUCUUCGGUCUUCAAAAUCCGAGAAUGACGAGGAGAAACACCAUCCAAUUGUUGAGACACUCCGGAACAAAGAAGAAUAGAAAUGAUGAACCAACGAUGAAAAUAUUCUGAAAGCGAUCUUGGAGCAGGAAUAUGACUCAUGGAAAUUCAUUCUUACGUCAAACUUGGAAAUGAAUUUGAGAAUCGCUCCUGAUAAUUCGAAGAGUCAGGUAAGAUCUUGGGAAAAGACCUGUGGGUUAGGGCCCACUCAAAAGAAAACACCUUUGAAAAUGAUUUUAAAGAGAGAUUGCACCGGUUGAGUUAAAUGGCUUGAAUGAGAUAACAAUCUCCAAAUAGCUUGAACGGAUUGUGAAUGGAAACACAAGUCCUCUGAGAUAUCUUGAGCACUCCGGAUAAGAAUAGAGAGAGGUGAACAAUUAAGAGGUGCACCGACAUGGAGAAACAUUUGAAACGAGGAAAAGAAUAUGAUCAACACUGAAAGCUUGAAUUGGAUCCACCGGAGAAGAAAAAAGAACGAAGGAUGAUGAACUUGAAGCUCGCGAGCAUCUUCACGAGGGAUCACCGGAUCAGAACACUGAUUGAAAAGAGUGAAGUGACUUUACAUGAAUAAAUGGAUACUUGAUUAAAAUAAAUGAGUCCUUGAAGAAAAGGUUGGGAGGGCGGGAAAACAAAGGCAACUUGGGGACGGAUAAAACAAACACCGGUGAGAAAACUUAGAGUUGAUCUUGCGGAUGUUGAAAAUGAACGGAUCCACUUGAAGAGAAGCACACCGGUUGGAAAAGAAUUGACAUGACAACCUCAAUGAUCAAGAAGGAUUAUUACUCCCAUAGAAAUAUGAGAACACCAUUUAGGAAAGGUAUGGAUUCAACAUUUGACUUCGAAGCAACUCGAAUACCAUAAAUAAAACAAAACAAAGGAUUUGGCUUGCAGAAUAAGACGGAACAAACAUAUGAUAGAGAUUUACCCAAUCCCAUAUCAUGCAUCUGUCGGAAAAAUAUUCUAGGAGCUACUUGAAUUCCCAUCUAUAAACUCCCAAAACUUUCUGGUUAUGCAAUCUAGUGUUGGGGAUACAGGGGAAGCAAUAUAUCUCACCCAAACUAACAAUCCCUACAUCCAGCUGUAUCCAUCCGUUAACACAUAACCAAGAAAACUCCGGAAAUCGUGUACCUCAACCUUUGAAAAGCAUCCGUUAUACGAGCUAUGGCAAUACUCCCGAACUCCCCAGUACUGGGUGGCGUCGAGGUUAUCUCACCAACAACUGCAUAAAAGAGAUUUUCGAUGUCGGCAAAACUCAGGUAUUCCAGAACUGCAACGAUAAAAUUAUGACGACAACACCUCGGAGCUCAACUCCCCGGGUCAAUGCCACAUAAUAGACAGGAGGCACCAAGAACAAUGUUCUCGUCACAAAACCAUCGGAACGAUUCCAAGAUACCCGCGUGAUCCUAAAAAAAAUUGUGAAAAAUUGAGGAGAGGAAAGACAAAACAUCUACGUCGAGAGUCCUCACCGGAGCGACGAAGGGGGCUGAGGAGUAAAAAGAAUCCUACUCUUCGAUAUAUAUAAUCCUAAGACUCAAAAUAGUUUUCUUCUAGACUCAACAACGGCCAACAAUCAAGGGGGCUCCUAUGGUCGGUCGAGGCUCUGAUACCAACUUGUCACGCCCAAUAUGCGACCCUAUCCAAAAGGAACUCGAAGGUCCCACCAAGGAUAGACCCGCAUAUUGAAACGCUUUUGCAAGGUGGAUAUCAUUACAUCAACAUUACAUAAUCGAUGGGGAUACAUACAUAAGGCAUACAAUGCCACUCAAAUACAACAUCACAACACAUAAGAGCAUCAUCCGACUACGGAUGAAACACAAACAGAAACUCAAACGACAUCCACCCUACUAGCCUAGGCUGCCGACCUGGAACCUAUCCCUGAUCGAAGAAGAAGCAGAAGAAGAGCUCAAGCAAGCAAGCAUCGCUCUCGCGUCAUGAUCAUCACAUAACCUGUACCUACAAUUGUUGUUGUAGUAAUCUGUGAGCCACGAGGACUCAGCAAUCCCAUUACCAUGGGUAUCAAUACUAGCAAAGCUUAAUGGGAAAGGAAUGGGUAAAGUGGUGAGGUUGCAGCAACGACUAAGCAAGUAUGGUGGCU